AAAUUCGGUUCUAGAGAGGUUUG
This 23-nucleotide microRNA is filed under the name Limulus polyphemus (Atlantic horseshoe crab). RNAcentral's name for it is "Lpo-Mir-10-P1k-v2_3p* (star (passenger))". The record is from RNAcentral. RNAcentral also lists the same sequence under 9 other names. Lineage: Eukaryota; Metazoa; Arthropoda; Merostomata; Xiphosura; Limulidae.